This 253-nucleotide ribosomal RNA is filed under the name uncultured bacterium. RNAcentral's name for it is "partial 16S ribosomal RNA". It matches the Rfam family "Bacterial small subunit ribosomal RNA", at positions 524 to 776 of the family's 1533-position model. The record is from RNAcentral.
UACGAAGGGAGCUAGCGUUGUUCGGAAUCACUGGGCGUAAAGCGCACGUAGGCGGAUGUGUCAGUCAGGGGUGAAAUCCCGGAGCUCAACUUCGGAACUGCCUUUGAUACAGCACAUCUGGAGUCCGGAAGAGGUGGGUGGAAUUCCUAGUGUAGAGGUGAAAUUCGUAGAUAUUAGGAAGAACACCGGUGGCGAAGGCGGCCCACUGGUCCGGUACUGACGCUGAGGUGCGAAAGCGUGGGGAGCGAACAGG